GAGGCGCAGUGACGGCUUCCCGCACCAGCAGCGGGCUUGAGACUUGACCGUGCCAGCUGGGUUAGGAGGCCUCAUUUCUUCACAAAAGCCCUGUGAAAUCGGUAAGGAGGACUAUUUCCAUUUUGCAGAAGAGGAAAUCGAAGCCCUGCGAGGCGAAGCGGCUGACUCCCGACGGCACGGUGAGAAGAUGAAGGAAGUGGGACCUAAGGAAGUUAAGGAACAAGUCCAAGUGCAAGGGUCUUGGAUCUCCACGCAGGACUGUCUGAGCUCUCCUAGAGGUUUUUGAUGUUUGUAGGCUGUGCUGGGUAAGGAAGGAAGAGAUCAGAAGUCGGCAGGAAACCAAAGAAGUCAUGUGUGAGGCUGUAGACCCAAGGCCUUUGGGAUGAGUUUGGUUAAGAAGAGGAACUGCAGACACGGAGUUAGAGCGCAUCCUUGGUGAACACUGAAUUGCAACUGAAGCCGACUUCAAGCGUGAACUUCAGCCUUGGAUGCCUUUGCACGUCUGCGCCGUGGCUGGGAAGGAUCUACCAAGUGUGUUUGGGAACAGAGGGCUGCCCGGUGGGAAUCAGGAGAGGGAUCCCGGAGCCCAGGGCUGCUGCGGUCCUGUCCCAAAUCAACCCCGUUUCCAUCUGGAUGAAUAGAAACCGUGUCCAGGGCAACGUGUCAGGAACUGUGCAGACGUUUCAUGUUCGGGGUAACAGGGGAAAUGGAGAAUGGGAGUUUGCUUAGAGAAGGCCACGGGGUGAGGGGGUCUUCAGGGGACCCUCUCAAAGCAGUUUUAAAUUUACAGAAUGAAGGUUGCUCUUUUGGCCACAGAAAGGGUGGACUUGAGUUUUUCAUUCAUAAUGGGCCCACAUAUGGGAGAAGGAAUGCCAGCAACUGAUUGGGUUAAAGCCUAACGCCUUUCUAUAAAAGAAGUCCAGAUGGCAGAUACAGCAACUCUAAGUUUAUUGUCCGUCAUCCUUCGUGCCUGGCUUUCAUACUGAAGAUUACCUCAACGUCUCACCUGAGAGUUGGAGCUCCAGUCAUCACGUCCUCAUUUCAGGCAGGCCUGGUAUUUACUCAGAACACACAGGGAUGGCCACUUAGCAGUUACCAUAUCAACGUACUUCUGAAUGAGUGGGCGAGUAGCUGCUGUCUCUUGGCCUCCGUAGAUCAUCUCCCAGGCACAGCAACUAAAGAAUUAACACAGGUCCCAGCAGGACUCUUCAGGACUUUGCUUAGCACUAAGGUGGACUGGUUGAACAAGUUCAAAAUUGCCCUCUGUGGAGAGCAGGACCAAUAUAAUGGCCUAGAGUAUAUAAAACAGAGUGGAGUCACUCUGGUCAACCAAGAUGGCUACCAGUCAGCCAUGACACUUUGGUUCAAGAGCAAAAUCACCUAAGUCAGAGCAGACAUGUCUGACAAGGAGACACACUUAAGACAUUUGCACACGUGAUCAGAGCAGCCGUGACUACGGAGUGGGACCACUCACAGAGGGGCUCCUGGGGAAAGUCCUUACUUGGCGUCAGGGUGGCCAGAACACUUACUUAUCAAAAGGCCCAGAAGGGUGGAGGCACCCCUUUCAAGGUACAACUGAGGCAGGCUCCAGACCACUGCUGAGACCGCUGAGCCCCACACCCCAGAGGGCUGCUCCAUGCCACGCUGAUCUCCCUUGGCAUCGGCUGCUGGAGGCUCUGCCCUGCUGGACUGAGGACUCCCUUGCCCACCGUGCUGUCUCUCGGACCAGCAGACCAAGUCUCUGGGGCUCAGGUUUGUUAUCCCCCACUGAUUGCUCUGUGCACGUGUGUGUUUUAUAUUUCUCCUAGACUGUCAGAGUGUGAGUAGGAUGUUAGUGUGUGCUGACGUUCUACUUUGAGUGAACCUGCAUUCACUAAAAGCUGUAUGAACAGCACAGUUACUGUGUGUGACUCUUGUCUGUUCCUUGGUACUGGGCUGCUCGGUAGAGCCUUGGUCCUGGCUGACUUAUGGGAAAGGCCCAAUUCUAGGUAUAAAGCAGAGAGAGACAACUAAAGGGCUGAUUUUCCAGGUAAGCUGGUCUCCUUUACAGAGCCUUUCUCACGAGCACCACCCAUCCCCUUCUGCUCAUUGGCCACUCCAUCUGAAGUGCAGGCUGGGAAAUGUAGUUCUGUAGCCUUCAAGAUGUCAUCCUUCCAACAAUAUCAAGGUCUCUUCUAAGGAAGCAGGAGUGUUGGGCAGGCAAUCCUACU
Molecule: long non-coding RNA, 2210 nt
Organism: Artibeus jamaicensis (Jamaican fruit-eating bat)
Lineage: Eukaryota; Metazoa; Chordata; Mammalia; Chiroptera; Phyllostomidae
Exons: 4
Source: RefSeq, a predicted model, not a curated record